UACGUAGGGUGCGAGCGUUAAUCGGAAUUACUGGGCGUAAAGCGUGCGCAGGCGGCUUUGCAAGACAGAUGUGAAAUCCCCGGGCUCAACCUGGGAACUGCAUUUGUGACUGCAAGGCUAGAGUACGGCAGAGGGGGAUGGAAUUCCGCGUGUAGCAGUGAAAUGCGUAGAUAAGCGGAGGAACACCAAUGGCGAAGGCAAUCCCCUGGGCCUGUACUGACGCUCAUGCACGAAAGCGUGGGGAGCAAACAGG
RNAcentral lists this ribosomal RNA (253 nucleotides) under uncultured bacterium. Its description in RNAcentral is "partial 16S ribosomal RNA". It matches the Rfam family "Bacterial small subunit ribosomal RNA", at positions 524 to 776 of the family's 1533-position model. The record is from RNAcentral.